Molecule: ribosomal RNA, 776 nt
Filed under: Triticum aestivum (bread wheat)
Lineage: Eukaryota; Viridiplantae; Streptophyta; Magnoliopsida; Poales; Poaceae
Description: partial small subunit ribosomal RNA
Source: RNAcentral
CACCGAGCCAGCCCACCUACCCCCACCGGUCGCCUACUCCUCCUGUGCCCCUGGCGCGGUCGCUACAGGGGCGGGUCGCCCCCGACCACCUCGCCGGCGUCGUCGCAGGGAGGAUAAGGCCGCCACCCGCGCCUCCUCGGGCUCCUCCCCUGCCACUCCGCUCACCCCACUUCCCCUUCCCCUAGAUCUCGCUUCCCCUCACUCUCUCCCGCGGCGGAUCCCCUCCGUCCUGACGCCGCACCUCCGUGGCCACGGAGCCCUUCCAACCUCGUCGGCAUGUCCACGACCUCCGCCGUCCUCCCCGACUUCCUCUACGCCGACGUAUUGGACCGAGGGCAGCUACAAAGACGACCCCGAGCUCUCCGUCCACCGUUGACUCGCCGGUCGCCGUCGCCAACUCCGGCCGCCUCUGCUGCUCCUAAACCGUUCGCCGGCCGCCUUGCGCCGCUAGACCCCGAGACUGCCGCUGAUGCCGCUGUGAUCGACUACGUCGACGACGACCCCUUCUUCUUGUCUGAGCAACCAGAUGGUGGGUCCUUGGAGCUAGAUGCCACCGCCGACGGAUACUACUACAUGAAGGCCACCGAAGACCAGGAGUAGUUAGGAGGUCCCAGGCAGGAGGCCUUGCCUCUUCGAUCGUUGUUGUUUUUGUGCUUGCCUUCUUAAGGCAUCCUUGUCUAACUUAUGUCUGUACUCAGAUAUUGUUGCUUCCGCUGACUCUUGUGUAUCGAGCUUGUAUUCGAGCCCUCGAGGCCCCUGGCUUGUAAUAUGAAGCU